RNAcentral lists this small RNA (932 nucleotides) under Pan troglodytes (chimpanzee). RNAcentral describes it as "retained intron". Lineage: Eukaryota; Metazoa; Chordata; Mammalia; Primates; Hominidae. The record is from RNAcentral.
AUGGCCAGGCCUGUUCCAACCCCUGGACUUUCAUCACUGUACGGUGCAGAGCUUUUGGUAUAAAUGUGUAAUCAUAUGACUGAGCCAAAAAAAGAGAGAGUGGUAAUAUAUCAAAAUUUAAAAAAAUUUUAUUGAGUUAUAAAUCUUAAUAUAGCCAUCUUAGCCAUAACCACAAAUAAACUCAUUUUUUCUGUUAAAAUACUUGACAGAGUCCUUGCAAUUGAAUGUCUUUGUUCAACAAAAACUGUAUUAAGUGUUUUAAAUUGAAAAUCUAAUCUUAUGCAAAUAGCUGGUGGUCAAAACCUUUUUCCAUCAAAAGAAGAUCUUUGGUUUGACUUCAUAUUCUGGGAUGUUUGUAGGUACCUGGAAUGGAAACACAAAAGUAGCCAUAAAGACUCUUAAACCAGGCACAAUGUCCCCCGAAUCAUUCCUUGAGGAAGCGCAGAUCAUGAAGAAGCUGAAGCACGACAAGCUGGUCCAGCUCUAUGCAGUGGUGUCUGAGGAGCCCAUCUACAUCGUCACCGAGUAUAUGAACAAAGUUUACUGGAUUUCUUAAAAGAUGGAGAAGGAAGAGCUCUGAAAUUACCAAAUCUUGUGGACAUGGCAGCACAGGUGGCUGCAGGAAUGGCUUACAUCGAGCGCAUGAAUUAUAUCCAUAGAGAUCUGCGAUCAGCAAACAUUCUAGUGGGGAAUGGACUCAUAUGCAAGAUUGCUGACUUCGGAUUGGCCCGAUUGAUCGAAGACAAUGAGUACACAGCAAGACAAGGUGCAAAGUUCCCCAUCAAGUGGACGGCCCCCGAGGCAGCCCUGUACGGGAGGUUCACAAUCAAGUCUGACGUGUGGUCUUUUGGAAUCUUACUCACAGAGCUGGUCACCAAAGGAAGAGUGCCAUACCCAGGUAAGAGCAGGGCCUCGCAGACAUGGGCCUGAGA